UGUUAGAAUGGAAAGAGUUUAGUUAGAAUUCAACUAAUGGCAUGAUGGUAAUUAUCACUUAGUUUGAGGGCAUAAUGGACCUUGAGUAAUGUUGCAUGAUAUAAGGCCUUGUUUGGGUGCAUGCUAUUCAUUUUUGUUUCACAAUUCAGAAUUUGGAGCAAGAGAGAAAGGAGGAAGUUAUGUUCAUCAAUUCCAUUUUCGCACCUUGGGUACAGCCUCCACUAAAUCAGCUUCUGUUUUGAAGGAGAAAAACGAGUUUGAAGUUGGGACAUGCAUGCUGAAUGUGAUGAAGAAUGGGCUACGGGUUUGAUGAGUUUGGAGUUGGAGUUUUGAUCAAGAUAGGAACUCAAUUGCAGCAUGUUCAUCAUCUAAAGCUCUAUUAAUCCAAUGUGCGGUUUAGUAGCUUUUGGUCAGUAGCAGGUUUGGACUGAAGACUUGGAAGUGGUGAUGGCUUGGAGACCUCGUCAGAUCUCAUUCUCCGCUGUGCAGAUCCAUUGAAGACACAUGUUUUGUAAUUCUUAUUAGGAUUUCAUGUUGUAUUUUAUAUGGAUCUUUCUAUAACUUUAGCUUUUGUAUGUACUCAAUAU
Molecule: long non-coding RNA, 587 nt
Organism: Vicia villosa (hairy vetch)
Lineage: Eukaryota; Viridiplantae; Streptophyta; Magnoliopsida; Fabales; Fabaceae
Exons: 3
Source: RefSeq, a predicted model, not a curated record